This is a long non-coding RNA of Sinocyclocheilus rhinocerous, 328 nucleotides long. RefSeq lists it as uncharacterized. The record is from RefSeq and is a predicted model, not a curated record. The transcript is spliced from 3 exons. NCBI's taxonomy places the organism in Eukaryota, Metazoa, Chordata, Actinopteri, Cypriniformes, Cyprinidae.
CUGUUCCAAGACCUGUGGAGGAGGUAUUCAGAUGACGCGUUAUGGCUGCCGUAAGAAUGCAGAGAUGAGGAUGGUCCAUCGCAGAUUCUGUGAGAAAAUCAAGCAGCCUCCGCCCCUGUUUAGAGACUGUUACUUGAGAGAGUGUGCUCAGCCCAUCUGGGUGGCUGGAGAGUGGGGCGAAUGCAGUAAGUCUUGUGGGAAGACGGGAACUCAGACACGUUCUGUACGCUGCGUCCAACCUCUGGGCGACGGCAAGUUCAAAUCCAUUCGCAGCCGUUACUGCAGUGAUGAGCGCCCAGAGUCCCGCAGAGACUGCAAUCGCAACCUG